Molecule: long non-coding RNA, 340 nt
Filed under: Struthio camelus australis
Lineage: Eukaryota; Metazoa; Chordata; Aves; Struthioniformes; Struthionidae
Description: lncRNA (ENSSCUG00000018302.1)
Source: RNAcentral
GUUUCUGGGAAGAAAGGAGCAGGCUCUUGAAGAGAAGGAGGUGCAGUCCCAACCCAUCAAAAUAGACCUUUGCUGGAACUGCUGGAAGUGUUUUUCUGCGCUUGGGUCAAGACGCACGCCCUGCUGCGGCAGUGCCCUGCAACACCUCUUUCGCCCCUGCACCCCAGUCCACAUGGGGUGGGAACAGGGCAGUUGCAACCAAAUGGAGCAGAGCCGGGUGCCAGGCACGUCCCAGACCUCGGAGACUGGGACCUUCAUGCCUACUGCAGGGUGUGCUAUCACUGGUUUUCAGUGGAGUCAGAGGCAUUUGUCUGGAGAAAGGAAGCCUUUUACUUCAAGA